GAUCCUGGCUCAGGACGAACGCUGGCGGCGCGCCUAACACAUGCAAGUCGAACGAGAGAGAGGGGAGCUUGCUUCCUCGAUCGAGUGGCGAACGGGUGAGUAACGCGUGAGGAACCUGCCUCAAAGAGGGGGGACAACAGUUGGAAACGACUGCUAAUACCGCAUAAGCCCACGACCCGGCAUCGGGUUGAGGGAAAAGGAGCAAUCCGCUUUGAGAUGGCCUCGCGUCCGAUUAGCUAGUUGGUGAGG
RNAcentral lists this ribosomal RNA (249 nucleotides) under uncultured bacterium. Its description in RNAcentral is "partial 16S ribosomal RNA". It matches the Rfam family "Bacterial small subunit ribosomal RNA", at positions 15 to 257 of the family's 1533-position model. The record is from RNAcentral.